Molecule: ribosomal RNA, 1343 nt
Filed under: uncultured bacterium
Lineage: Bacteria
Description: 16S ribosomal RNA
Rfam family: Bacterial small subunit ribosomal RNA
Source: RNAcentral
GACGAACGCUGGCGGCGUGCUUAACACAUGCAAGUCGAACGGAAAGGCCCUGCUUUUGUGGGGUGCUCGAGUGGCGAACGGGUGAGUAACACGUGAGUAACCUGCCCUUGACUUUGGGAUAACUUCAGGAAACUGGGGCUAAUACCGGAUAGGAGCUCCUGCUGCAUGGUGGGGGUUGGAAAGUUUCGGCGGUUGGGGAUGGACUCGCGGCUUAUCAGCUUGUUGGUGGGGUAGUGGCUUACCAAGGCUUUGACGGGUAGCCGGCCUGAGAGGGUGACCGGCCACAUUGGGACUGAGAUACGGCCCAGACUCCUACGGGAGGCAGCAGUGGGGAAUAUUGCACAAUGGGCGGAAGCCUGAUGCAGCAACGCCGCGUGCGGGAUGACGGCCUUCGGGUUGUAAACCGCUUUCGCCUGUGACGAAGCGUGAGUGACGGUAAUGGGUAAAGAAGCACCGGCUAACUACGUGCCAGCAGCCGCGGUGAUACGUAGGGUGCGAGCGUUGUCCGGAUUUAUUGGGCGUAAAGGGCUCGUAGGUGGUUGAUCGCGUCGGAAGUGUAAUCUUGGGGCUUAACCCUGAGCGUGCUUUCGAUACGGGUUGACUUGAGGAAGGUAGGGGAGAAUGGAAUUCCUGGUGGAGCGGUGGAAUGCGCAGAUAUCAGGAGGAACACCAGUGGCGAAGGCGGUUCUCUGGGCCUUUCCUGACGCUGAGGAGCGAAAGCGUGGGGAGCGAACAGGCUUAGAUACCCUGGUAGUCCACGCUGUAAACGGUGGGUACUAGGUGUGGGGUCCAUUCCACGGGUUCCGUGCCGUAGCUAACGCUUUAAGUACCCCGCCUGGGGAGUACGGCCGCAAGGCUAAAACUCAAAGGAAUUGACGGGGCCCCGCACAAGCGGCGGAGCAUGCGGAUUAAUUCGAUGCAACGCGUAGAACCUUACCUGGGUUUGACAUGGAUCGGGAGUGCUCAGAGAUGGGUGUGCCUCUUUUGGGGUCGGUUCACAGGUGGUGCAUGGCUGUCGUCAGCUCGUGUCGUGAGAUGUUGGGUUAAGUCCCGCAACGAGCGCAACCCUUGUUCACUGUUGCCAGCACGUUAUGGUGGGGACUCAGUGGAGACCGCCGGGGUCAACUCGGAGGAAGGUGGGGAUGACGUCAAGUCAUCAUGCCCCUUAUGUCCAGGGCUUCACGCAUGCUACAAUGGCUGGUACAGAGAGUGGCGAGCCUGUGAGGGUGAGCGAAUCUCGGAAAGCCGGUCUCAGUUCGGAUUGGGGUCUGCAACUCGACCUCAUGAAGUCGGAGUCGCUAGUAAUCGCAGAUCAGCAACGCUGCGGCGAAUACGUUCCCGGG